Molecule: ribosomal RNA, 332 nt
Filed under: uncultured bacterium
Lineage: Bacteria
Description: bacterial SSU rRNA
Rfam family: Bacterial small subunit ribosomal RNA
Source: RNAcentral
CGCGUAGGCGGCACCUUAAGUCAGAUGUGAAAACCCGAGGCUCAACUUCGGGCGUGCAUUUGAAACUGGGGAGCUUGAGUGCAGGAGAGGAAAGCGGAAUUCCUAGUGUAGCGGUGAAAUGCGUAGAUAUUAGGAGGAACACCAGUGGCGAAGGCGGCUUUCUGGACUGUAACUGACGCUGAGGCGCGAAAGCGUGGGGAGCAAACAGGAUUAGAUACCCUGGUAGUCCACGCUGUAAACGAUGGAUACUAGGUGUGGGAGGUAUCGACCCCUUCCGUGCCGCAGUAAACGCAAUAAGUAUCCCGCCUGGGGAGUACGGCCGCAAGGUUGAA